Molecule: ribosomal RNA, 490 nt
Filed under: uncultured bacterium
Lineage: Bacteria
Description: partial 16S ribosomal RNA
Rfam family: Bacterial small subunit ribosomal RNA
Source: RNAcentral
AUUGAACGCUGGCGGCAGGCCUAACACAUGCAAGUCGAACGGUAACAGGAAGAAGCUUGCUUCUUUGCUGACGAGCGGCGGACGGGUGAGUAAUGUCUGGGAAACUGCCUGAUGGAGGGGGAUAACUACUGGAAACGGUAGCUAAUACCGCAUAACGUCGCAAGACCAAGGAGGGGGACCUUCGGGCCUCUUGCCAUCGGAUGUGCUCAGAUGGGAUUAGCUAGUAGGUGGGGUAACGGCUCACCUAGGCGACGAUCCCUAGCUGGUCUGAGAGGAUGACCAGCCACACUGGAACUGAGACACGGUCCAGACUCCUACGGGAGGCAGCAGUGGGGAAUAUUGCACAAAGGGCGCAAGCCUGAUGCAGCCAUGCCGCGUGUAUGAAGAAGGCCUUCGGGUUGUAAAGUACUUUCAGCGGGGAGGAAGGGAGUAAAGUUAAUACCUUUGCUCAUUGACGUUACCCGCAGAAGAAGCACCGGCUAACUCCGUG